Molecule: long non-coding RNA, 1045 nt
Organism: Onychostoma macrolepis
Lineage: Eukaryota; Metazoa; Chordata; Actinopteri; Cypriniformes; Cyprinidae
Exons: 3
Source: RefSeq, a predicted model, not a curated record
UCGCUUCUAAUGAUUGGAAAAUCUGUUUGUACUUCGUGUCAGAAACAGCGUGAGCGUUUGGAGUACAUCUGCAUGUCAGAAAUAUACCGGGGCAUCAGUUUACUGUCCGCAUCCACUGCAGAUAGUAUAUAUAAUGGGUUCUAUAUUGUUGUCUGUUCUCGAGUCGCGGCGCUCCGUGCCACUCGCGUCCGAGGAAGACACGUAAGCAGCGCGGUGGGGUUUUUUGCCAGGGCAUGAACCCGCAAGAGUGGAAGAGCUCCGGAGAACAUCUACGCUGUGUCUCGAUGCACCUUACGAGAGAAUAAGCAAGGCAACUGCAAUGAAGCAUCAAGAAAGACAUGAGCAGGCCAGCCACCUUGAGACUAAUAAUUUAUGAGAAGACAUUUCUGUCAAAGUGGACGGUGAGCAAAGAUGGUGGCCACGUUUUGGAGCAGCACCUGGGUUUUGCAGAGGGCUAUGUAUUUUUUGGCUGUUUGUCUUUUUCCCCAUUAUAUUUCUGUUGCCUAAAGAUUAUUUGUGAGGAUGAAUCCAGAGGACACAACAAAAUGCACUGCAAAAUGUCCUAAGACAGGAGAAAUGGUGAAGAUGCACUGUUCCAGCAUUGGAAAACAAAACAUAGAGAAAAAUCACUCACUACUCUUGACUGAAAAACGUUAAUACAGUUGAUUUAAUAGGAAUCAAUCUAUAUAGUGUUUUAUUUUUAUAUUGUUGAUUAAAUUUCUUGAAUGCUCCUGCUAAAUACACCUAUUGUAACACUGUUAUAUUUAUAUAUUAUGUGUAUUUGUAAUGUGUAUCUUUGUUCUCAUUUUUUAAUAACAAAGAUAAAAUAAUGACAGAUUUUUAUCUUCGCCCACUUUGGCCUAAAUAUCCACCAUUCUUUUUUAAUAUUUUUGUUAUCUUGAAAGGUUUUGUCUUUAUAAUAGGGAAAUUAGUUUGGCUGUAAUGCUCAGACAACUUGCAAAAUAGUAAAACCAACAUGACAAAGAAUCGUGAUAAAAUCGUGAAUCGUAAUUUUUCUUAAAAAUAUUGUGAUAUUAUAUUUUUG